This 406-nucleotide ribosomal RNA is filed under the name uncultured bacterium. RNAcentral describes it as "bacterial SSU rRNA". It matches the Rfam family "Bacterial small subunit ribosomal RNA", at positions 29 to 412 of the family's 1533-position model. The record is from RNAcentral.
AGCGAACGCCGGCGGCGUGCUUAACACAUGCAAGUCGAGCGAAGGUGUUUCAAGGGUAACCUUGAGAUACACUUAGCGGCGGACGGGUGAGUAAUACGUGGAUAACUUACCUCUAGGCCUGGGAUAACCCCGGGAAACUGGGGCUAAUACCUGAUAAGACCACAUUGUCUACGGACAAAAGGGGUAAAAGGUGGCUGUGCAAACAGCUAUCGCCAAAAGAUAGGUUCACGUCCCAUCAGGCAGUGGUGAGGUAAUGGCUCACCAAACCAAAGACGGGUAGCCGGCCUUGGCGGGUGAACGGCCACACGGGGACUGAGACACGGCCCCGACUCCUACGGGAGGCAGCAGUGGGGAAUAUUGGGCAAUGGGCGCAAGCCUGACCCAGCGACGUCGCGUUGGGGAAGAA